GAUGAACGCUAGCGAUAGGCUUAACACAUGCAAGUCGAGGGGCAGCAUGGUCUUAGCUUGCUAAGACUGAUGGCGACCGGCGCACGGGUGCGUAACGCGUAUGCAACUUGCCUCACAGAGGGGGAUAACCCGUCGAAAGACGGACUAAUACCGCGUACACUCUAUUUUGGGCAUCCAAGGUAGAGGAAAUGAAAUUCGCUGUGAGAUAGGCAUGCGUCCCAUUAGCUAGUUGGUGAGGUAACGGCUCACCAAGGCGACGAUGGGUAGGGGAACCGAGAGGUUGAACCCCCACAAUGGUACUGAGACACGGACCAGAAUCCUACGGGAGGCAGCAGUGAGGAAUAUUGGUCAAUGGGCAAGAGCCUGAACCAGCCAAGUCGGGUGAAGGAUGACUGUCUUAUGGAUUGUAAACUUCUUUUGUAGGGGAAUAAAGAGGGGCACGUGUGCCCCAGUGAAUGUACCCUACGAAUAAGCAUCGGCUAACUCCGUG
Molecule: ribosomal RNA, 490 nt
Filed under: uncultured bacterium
Lineage: Bacteria
Description: partial 16S ribosomal RNA
Rfam family: Bacterial small subunit ribosomal RNA
Source: RNAcentral